RNAcentral lists this ribosomal RNA (418 nucleotides) under Aethaloperca rogaa. Its description in RNAcentral is "partial 12S ribosomal RNA". It matches the Rfam family "Bacterial small subunit ribosomal RNA", at positions 777 to 1395 of the family's 1533-position model. The record is from RNAcentral. Lineage: Eukaryota; Metazoa; Chordata; Actinopteri; Perciformes; Serranidae.
AUUAGAUACCCCACUAUGCUUUGCCCUAAACAUCGAUAGUUUUAUACAUCCACUAUCCGCCCGGGUACUACGAGCAACAGCUUAAAACCCAAAGGACUUGGCGGUGCUUUAGACCCACCUAGAGGAGCCUGUUCUGAAACCGAUAACCCCCGUUAAACCUCACCUUUUCUUGUUCUACCCGCCUAUAUACCGCCGUCGUCAGCUUACCCUAUGAAGGCCCCUUAGUAAGCAUAAUUGGCACAGCCCAAAACGUCAGGUCGAGGUGUAGCGUAUGAAAAGGGAAGAAAUGGGCUACAUUCCCUGAUACAGCGAAUUACGAAAAAUAUCACUGAAACGUAUAUCUAGAAGGAGGAUUUAGCAGUAAGCAGAAAAUAGAGUGUUCUGCUGAAACCGGCCCUGAAGCGCGCACACACCGCCC